AAGUUUUCGGAUGGAAGCUUGUAAACUUAGUGGCGGACGGGUGAGUAACACGUGAGCAACCUGCCUAUCAGAGGGGGAUAACGAUUGGAAACGAUCGCUAAUACCGCAUGACAUAGCGGAACCGCAUGGUUCUGUUAUCAAAGAUUUUAUCGCUGAUAGAUGGGCUCGCGUCCGAUUAGAUAGUUGGUGGGGUAACGGCCUACCAAGGCGACGAUCAGUAGCCGACCUGAGAGGGUGAUCGGCCACAUUGGAACUGAGAGACGGUCCAAACUCC
This 274-nucleotide ribosomal RNA is filed under the name uncultured Bacillota bacterium. Its description in RNAcentral is "uncultured Firmicutes bacterium partial 16S ribosomal RNA". It matches the Rfam family "Bacterial small subunit ribosomal RNA", at positions 71 to 339 of the family's 1533-position model. Lineage: Bacteria; Bacillati; Bacillota. The record is from RNAcentral.